GCGGGGGUCGCCAAGCCAGGUCAACGGCGCUAGGUUCAGGGCCUAGUCUCGCAGGAGUUCGUGGGUUCGAAUCCCAUCCCCCGCACCA
RNAcentral lists this transfer RNA (88 nucleotides) under Methanothrix sp. Its description in RNAcentral is "tRNA-Leu". It matches the Rfam family "tRNA". From Rfam's summary of the family: Transfer RNA (tRNA) molecules are approximately 80 nucleotides in length. Their secondary structure includes four short double-helical elements and three loops (D, anti-codon, and T loops). Further hydrogen bonds mediate the characteristic L-shaped molecular structure. tRNAs have two regions of fundamental functional importance: the anti-codon, which is responsible for specific mRNA codon recognition, and the 3' end, to which the tRNAs corresponding amino acid is attached (by aminoacyl-tRNA synthetases). tRNAs cope with the degeneracy of the genetic code in two manners: having more than one tRNA (with a specific anti-codon) for a particular amino acid; and 'wobble' base-pairing, i.e. permitting non-standard base-pairing at the 3rd anti-codon position. The record is from RNAcentral. RNAcentral also lists the same sequence under 7 other names. Lineage: Archaea; Methanobacteriati; Methanobacteriota; Methanomicrobia; Methanotrichales; Methanotrichaceae.